This 346-nucleotide unclassified non-coding RNA is filed under the name soil metagenome. RNAcentral's name for it is "partial contains 5.8S ribosomal RNA, internal transcribed spacer 2, and large subunit ribosomal RNA". The stretch from base 1 to 120 matches the Rfam family "5.8S ribosomal RNA", at positions 35 to 154 of the family's 154-position model. The record is from RNAcentral.
GAUGAAGAACGCAGCGAAAUGCGAUAAGUAAUGUGAAUUGCAGAAUUCAGUGAAUCAUCGAAUCUUUGAACGCACAUUGCGCCCGCCAGUAUUCUGGCGGGCAUGCCUGUCUGAGCGUCAUUUCAACCCUCAUGCCCCUAGGGCGUGGUGUUGGGGAUCGGCCAAAGCCCGCGAGGGACGGCCGGCCCCUAAAUCUAGUGGCGGACCCGUCGUGGCCUCCUCUGCGAAGUAGUGAUAUUCCGCAUCGGAGAGCGACGAGCCCCUGCCGUUAAACCCCCAACUUUCCAAGGUUGACCUCAGAUCAGGUAGGAAUACCCGCUGAACUUAAGCAUAUCAUAGCGGAGGA